GCUAAACAUCUAGCUUAAACACAAAAACCAAUGCAAUAAUAUACAAAAACUUUACUAAACUAAAAAUCACAAAAAUAAAACAUUUUUCCGCCCUAGUAUGAGUGACAGAAAAAGCUCCUGAAAGCCAUAAAAUAGUACCGCAAGGGAAAGAUGAAAAAGAAAAUGAAAUAAACCAUUUAAGCCAAAAAAAGCAGAGAUUAAACCUCGUACCUUUCGCAUCAUGAUUUAGCCAGACACCCUGAGCAAAGAGCACUUUAGUUCACCUCCCCGAAACUAGAUGAGCUACCCCGAGACAGCCUACUAUAAGGGCCAACCCAUCUCUGUGGCAAAAGAGUGGGAAGAUCUCCGGGUAGAGGUGAUAAGCCUACCGAAUCUAGUUAUAGCUGGUUGCCUAAGAAAUGAAUAGAAGUUCAGCCUCGUCUUCCCCAACUCAAAAAUUCAUUAUUCACAAGAGUACGAGAAACGCACGAGAGUUAGUCAGAGGGGGAACAGCCCCUCAGACAAGGGACACAACCCUAUCAGGAGGUUAAAGAUUAUAAUAAAUAAGAUUCCUGUCCAAGUGGGCCUAAAAGCAGCCACCUAUGUAGAAAGCGUCAAAGCUCAAACAGACUAAAACCCCAUUAUUAAAAUAAUCUAAUCCUAAACCCCUAACUAUAUUAGGCCUCUCUAUGCACACAUAGAAGAGACACUGCUAAAAUGAGUAAUAAGAAGAUACCCUCUUCUCCUGACCCACGUGUAUGCUAGAACGGACCACCCACUAGCCAUUAACGAACCCACCCAAAGAGGGCAAUAUGGCCAUAAAUAUAACCAAGAAAAAACCAUAUAUCUCAUCGUUAAUCCCACACCGGAGGACUACAAGGAAAGACUAAAAGAAAAGGAAGGAACUCGGCAAGCACAAGCCUCGCCUGUUUACCAAAAACAUCGCCUCCCGCAAGAUAACAUAUGGGAGGUCUUACCUGCCCAGUGACUACAGGUUAAACGGCCGCGGUAUUUUAACCGCGCAAACGUAGCGCAAUCACUUGUCUUUUAAAUGAAGACCCGUAUGAACGGUGAAACGAGGGCUUAACUGUCUCCCUUUUCCAGUCAAUGAAAUUGAUCUGCCCGUGCAGAAGCGGGCCUAAUAAUACAAGACGAGAAGACCCUUUGGAGCUUAAGAUAAAGACCACCUAUACUACGACCAAAACCCAAACAUAGCCCUGGUUCACAUCUUCGGUUGGGACAACCACGAGAGAAAACAAAGCUCUCAUGCGGACAGGGAAUACCCUAAAGCCAAGAAAAACAUCUCUAAGACACAGAACAUCUGACCACACUGAUCCGGCCCACCCGCCGACCAACGAACCAAGUUACCCUAGGGAUAACAGCGCAAUCCCCUUUCAGAGUCCCUAUCGACAAGGGGGUUU
RNAcentral lists this ribosomal RNA (1400 nucleotides) under Pseudohemiodon aff. apithanos MHNG 2677.070. RNAcentral describes it as "partial 16S ribosomal RNA". It matches the Rfam family "Bacterial large subunit ribosomal RNA", at positions 179 to 2519 of the family's 2925-position model. Lineage: Eukaryota; Metazoa; Chordata; Actinopteri; Siluriformes; Loricariidae. The record is from RNAcentral.